CUCUGCGCAAGAGAUCUUUUGGUUCGCUAGACGAAGAAGGGCGCAGCGGAAUGCGAAAUGUGCAGGAGUCGCAGCGAAGAUAGCACAUGCCUGAAAUCACGAGAGUGUGAGACUACCCCUUUGAAUUAAGCAUAUGAGUAAAGGGAGGAAAAGAAACUAACAAGGAUUCCUGUAGUAGCGGCGAGCGAAGAAGGAACAGCCCCGAGUGUAAUCACCAAUAUGUGAGAUGUCAUUAAUCUAUAGAACGAUGUUGAAACUUCGGCCUGAGAGGGUGAUAGCCCCGUAAAAUAGAUGUAACAAGGGAGUAGCA
This 310-nucleotide ribosomal RNA is filed under the name Loma richardi. RNAcentral describes it as "LSU rRNA". It matches the Rfam family "Bacterial large subunit ribosomal RNA", at positions 27 to 417 of the family's 2925-position model. Lineage: Eukaryota; Fungi; Microsporidia; Glugeidae. The record is from RNAcentral.